AGAAGGCAGUGGGAAAAGAAGAUUAGGGAGGGAGAAGAUAUGGAUGAGAGGUAGUUUGGCGUCUUCUUUGAUGAGCUAAAAGCUGAAAGAAGCCUGGGGCUAGAUAUGGGUCCCCCUGAGCUAGAAGUAGUGAAGCCUGGGGCUAGAGGAGGGUUGUCCUGAGCAGGAGCAAGUUGGAGGCAGUGAAGUCCAAGAGGCAGUCGUAGUAAAGCCCCAGCUAUGUUUGGACUGGAAUUUGAGGGGCUGCAGGGAGAGAGGGGAGGCCUCCACUAUCUUCCUCUUGGCACUAGAAAGUGGAGAUUCUUCAAUUCUGUGCCUUCCAGACUGGGAGAGACCUUGAUGUGACCUGACUGGAGGGUUAAGUCCUGAGGUGUGGCAGGCCACCGUGAGAGUGGAGCAACUGUCAGCACAGGCUGCUAAAGAGAAAAGAGGAGUUAUGCCACACCAAGCCCUGAGGUGCCCACCAGUGGUGAUAGUCUCAAAUAACACAACUCCAGGAGCUGGGGCUUUAAUAAAAACACCAAAUAUCUGCCACAUGAUAAAAAGUGAGAGUUGGCGACACACACUGAAAUUCUGUCUGAUAAACUGCCUUUUGGAAAAGGUCUCUGGAAAAAGCCCCUCAAAAGCUGUCCAGCCAAUUUCUAUAUAAAUGGAUGACUGAGGUUUUCAAUUUCUAUGGAAAAUGAAAAAAAACUGCUUUGUUUGGUUUGAAGAUUGUAUAAAGUCAUUUAAACACUGACACAUGCUUCCUAGCCUAAUAAAGCAGCACUGCCUAGAAUUUAAGUGUAAACGUCACAUCUGUUGAACAUGUCAAAAAUCCAUUUGUGGAAGUGACUUUAUUUUGUUUAAUUUAAGCAGGGUGACUUCAACCUGAGCCACCAGUAACCAUUCUGUCUACAACCCUGUUAAACAAUGUAUUGUCUUUAAACUUAGGGCUGGCUUUCUCAUUUGCCAUUAAAUAUCAGGGCUCAGGAAAGGAAAUCUAAGACAGUAGGAGAGGAUACCCAACUACGUUCUCACCCUUAGAGUUGGCUGUUUGGGAUACAUG
Molecule: long non-coding RNA, 1048 nt
Organism: Mauremys mutica (yellowpond turtle)
Lineage: Eukaryota; Metazoa; Chordata; Testudines; Geoemydidae
Exons: 3
Source: RefSeq, a predicted model, not a curated record